CUGCAGGACGUUUAGGGUUCCGCCGCGCAUCCGCGGGUCUGGUCCGAGAAACGUCACCUGACCGGCAAAUUCCGGGCGGGCACACGGCGGGCCAAAAUCCCGGGAGGC
This 108-nucleotide small RNA is filed under the name Roseivivax lentus. Its description in RNAcentral is "Guanidine-I sequence". It matches the Rfam family "Guanidine-I riboswitch aptamer". From Rfam's summary of the family: This family represents a conserved RNA structure found upstream of the ykkC and yxkD genes in Bacillus subtilis and related genes in other bacteria. The record is from RNAcentral. Lineage: Bacteria; Pseudomonadati; Pseudomonadota; Alphaproteobacteria; Rhodobacterales; Roseobacteraceae.